AUUGAACGCUGGCGGCAGGCUUAACACAUGCAAGUCGAGCGGGGGAAGGUAGCUUGCUACCGGACCUAGCGGCGGACGGGUGAGUAAUGCUUAGGAAUCUGCCUAUUAGUGGGGGACAACAUCUCGAAAGGGAUGCUAAUACCGCAUACGUCCUACGGGAGAAAGCAGGGGAUUUUCGGACCUGGCGCUAAUAGAUGAGCCUAGGCCGGAUUAGCUAGUUGGUGGGGUAAAGGCCUACCAAGGCGACGAUCUGUAGCGGGUCUGAGAGGAUGAUCCGCCACACUGGGACUGAGACACGGCCCAGACUCCUACGGGAGGCAGCAGUGGGGAAUAUUGGACAAUGGGGGGAACCCUGAUCCAGCCAUGCCGCGUGUGUGAAGAAGGCCUUAUGGUUGUAAAGCACUUUAAGCGAGGAGGAGGCUACUUUAGUUAAUACCUAGAGAUAGUGGACGUUACUCGCAGAAUAAGCACCGGCUAACUCUGUGCCAGCCGCCGCAGUAA
RNAcentral lists this ribosomal RNA (501 nucleotides) under uncultured bacterium. Its description in RNAcentral is "partial 16S ribosomal RNA". It matches the Rfam family "Bacterial small subunit ribosomal RNA", at positions 30 to 523 of the family's 1533-position model. The record is from RNAcentral.